AGUGAACGCUGGCGGCAGGCCUAAUACAUGCAAGUCGAACGGCAGCACGGCAGAGCUUGCUCUGUGGGUGGCGAGUGGCGGACGGGUGAGGAAUACAUGGGAAUCUGCCCAGUCGUGGGGGAUAACGUAGGGAAACUUACGCUAAUACCGCAUGCGCCCUUUGGGGGAAAGCCGGGGACCUUCGGGCCUGGCGCGAUUGGAUGAGCCCAUGUCGGAUUAGCUAGUUGGCGGGGUAAUGGCCCACCAAGGCGACGAUCCGUAGCUGGUCUGAGAGGAUGAUCAGCCACACUGGAACUGAGACACGGUCCAGACUCCUACGGGAGGCAGCAGUAGGGAAUAUUGGACAAUGGGCGCAAGCCUGAUCCAGCCAUGCCGCGUGAGUGAAGAAGGCCCUCGGGUUGUAAAGCUCUUUUGUCCGGAAAGAAAAGCGCCGGGUUAAUACCCUGGUGUCCUGACGGUACCGGAAGAAUAAGCACCGGCUAACUUCGUGCCAGCAGCCGCGGUAAU
Molecule: ribosomal RNA, 507 nt
Filed under: uncultured bacterium
Lineage: Bacteria
Description: bacterial SSU rRNA
Rfam family: Bacterial small subunit ribosomal RNA
Source: RNAcentral